RNAcentral lists this ribosomal RNA (528 nucleotides) under Triticum aestivum (bread wheat). RNAcentral describes it as "partial small subunit ribosomal RNA". Lineage: Eukaryota; Viridiplantae; Streptophyta; Magnoliopsida; Poales; Poaceae. The record is from RNAcentral.
AUGUCCUCAUCGUCGUCAUCCUCUCUCCUCGUCCCAUCGGACUGGCUACUCCCUCUGAUGGCAUGCCCUCUGUGUGGCGACCAGGUCGUCACCGCCGUCGCUAGGACCGGCAACAAUGUCGAUCAUCAUUUCUACAAGUGCAUCCGCUACGAUACUUGUCAGUGUCGUUUCUUGAAGUUUCAGCACGCCUAUUGCAGGAGGAUGAAUCAGGACCAGAUUGUUGCUGCACAACAUCAAGCUGGAUGGCACCCCGCUGGGCAUGGAUUCACAGUUCAUCCUUGCAAUGCGCCUGUCCAGAUGGUUCCAGCUGCCAUACAGCCCCAGGCGCAGCAGCACGUCCACCCGCAUCUCCCGCCACAGAUCCAGGCACCGCUGCACCAGCCCCCACAGGCCGUCAUCCCCGCUGCGGCGGCCGGGGCCGCGUCAAGAGCACAAGGACUAGCCGCAGUUGCCGUGCUCAUGGUUGCUGUCAACAUGUUGCUCACCGUUCUCGUCCUGAUGGUCGUGCUUGCUAUGUACUUUGUUUAA